GACGAACGCUGGCGGCGUGCUUAACACAUGCAAGUCAAGGGGGCGGAGCAAUCCGCAACCGGCGAACGGGUGCGUAACACGUGAGCAACCUGCCUUAGUGUGGGGGAUAGCCGGCCUAACGGCCGGGUAAUACCGCAUACGAUUCUCGAGCGGAGUCGCUGGAGAAGGAAACCUUUGGGGCACUAAGAGGGGCUCGCGGCCUAUCAGCUAGUUGGCGGGGUAAUGGCCCACCAAGGCGACGACGGGUAGCUGGUCUGAGAGGAUGGCCAGCCACAUUGGGACUGAGAGACGGCCCAGACUCCUACGGGAGGCAGCAGUGGGGAAUCUUGCGCAAUGGCCGAAAGGCUGGCGCAGCGACGCCGCGUGUGGGAUGACGCCUUUCGGGUGU
This 388-nucleotide ribosomal RNA is filed under the name uncultured bacterium. RNAcentral's name for it is "bacterial SSU rRNA". It matches the Rfam family "Bacterial small subunit ribosomal RNA", at positions 28 to 426 of the family's 1533-position model. The record is from RNAcentral.